This 388-nucleotide ribosomal RNA is filed under the name uncultured Cryptomonadales. RNAcentral describes it as "partial small subunit ribosomal RNA". It matches the Rfam family "Eukaryotic small subunit ribosomal RNA", at positions 30 to 432 of the family's 1831-position model. The record is from RNAcentral. Lineage: Eukaryota; Cryptophyceae; Cryptomonadales.
GCUUGUCUCAAAGAUUAAGCCAUGCAUGUCUAAGUAUAAACAAAUCUAUACGUGAAACUGCGAAUGGCUCAUUAUAUCAGUUAUAGUUUAUUUGAUGGUUCUUGCUACUUGGAUAACCGUAGUAAUUCUAGAGCUAAUACAUGCACAAAGGCCCGACUCACGAAGGGCUGUAUUUAUUAGAUUUAAAGCCGACAUCUUUUGGUGAUUCAUAAUAACUUUUCGAACCUCAUGCCUUUAUGGUGGAGGUGAUUCAUUCAAAUUUCUGCCCUAUCAACUUUCGAUGGUAAGGUAUUGGCUUACCAUGGUUGCAACGGGUAACGGAGAAUUAGGGUUCGAUUCCGGAGAGGGCGCCUGAGAAAUGGCGACCACAUCCAAGGAAGGCAGCAGG